GUCUUUUUGAAUAUAAUUUAAAGUCUAACCUGCCAAGUGAGUAUUUAACGGCCGCAGUAUUUUGACUGUGCGAAGGUAGCAUAAUCAAUAGUUUUUUAAUUAAAAACUGGAAUGAAAGGUUGGAUAAGAAAUUGACUGUCUUAAUUAUAAUUUUUUAGAACUUUAUUUUUAAGUUAAAAAGCUUAAAUGAUUUUUAAAGACGAGAAGACCCUAUAGAAUUUUAUAAUUAUAUUAUUAAGAUUUAUAAGAUUAGAUAUUUUUUAUUAAUUAAAUUAUUUGAUUGGGGUGAUUAUAAAAUUUAAUAAACUUUUAUUUAAAUUAUUCAAAAAUGUUUGUUUACUUGAUCCAUUUUUAUGAUUAAAAGAUUAAAUUACCUUAGGGAUAACAGCGUAAUUUUUUUUAAAAGUUCUUAUUGAAAAAAAAGAUUGCGACCUCGAUGUUGGAUUAAAAUUAGUUUUAGGUGUAGAAGUUUAAUAACUAAGUCUGUUCGACUUUUAAUUUUUUACAU
RNAcentral lists this ribosomal RNA (508 nucleotides) under Bystus piceus. Its description in RNAcentral is "partial 16S ribosomal RNA". The record is from RNAcentral. Lineage: Eukaryota; Metazoa; Arthropoda; Insecta; Coleoptera; Endomychidae.